RNAcentral lists this unclassified non-coding RNA (506 nucleotides) under uncultured Glomus. RNAcentral's name for it is "SSU rRNA". It matches the Rfam family "Eukaryotic small subunit ribosomal RNA", at positions 569 to 1081 of the family's 1831-position model. The record is from RNAcentral. Lineage: Eukaryota; Fungi; Glomeromycota; Glomeromycetes; Glomerales; Glomeraceae.
AGCAGCCGCGGUAAUUCCAGCUCCAAUAGCGUAUAUUAAAGUUGUUGCAGUUAAAAAGCUCGUAGUUGAAUUUCGGGAUCAAGUCGUCGGUCGUGCUCAGGUACGUACUGGCGUCAUUGAUUUCUCCCUUCUGACGAACCAUGAUGUCAUUAAUUUGGUGUCAUGGGAAAUCAGGACUGUUACUUUGAAAAAAUUAGAGUGUUUAAAGCAGGCUCACGCUUGAAUACAUUAGCAUGGAAUAAUGAAAUAGGACGUUCGAUCCUAUUUUGUUGGUUUUAGGAUCAACGUAAUGAUUAAUAGGGAUAGUUGGGGGCAUUAGUAUUCAAUUGUCAGAGGUGAAAUUCUUGGAUUUAUUGAAGACUAACUACUGCGAAAGCAUUUGCCAAGGAUGUUUUCAUUAAUCAAGAACGAAAGUUAGGGGAUCGAAGACGAUCAGAUACCGUCGUAGUCUUAACCAUAAACUAUGCGACUAGGGAUCGGAUGAUGUUAAUUUUUAAUGAUCAUUC